Molecule: ribosomal RNA, 757 nt
Filed under: uncultured Candidatus Poseidoniales archaeon
Lineage: Archaea; Methanobacteriati; Thermoplasmatota; Candidatus Poseidoniia; Candidatus Poseidoniales
Description: bacterial SSU rRNA
Rfam family: Archaeal small subunit ribosomal RNA
Source: RNAcentral
AUAAGGCCGGAUAGUUCACAAUGCCUGGAACGGUUUGUGGAUUAAGGUAGGAUGGUUCUGCGGCGUAUCAGGUCGUAGGGGGUGUAACGGACCCCCUAGCCAUCGACGCGUACGGGUGUUGGGAGACAUAGCCCGGAGAUGGAUUCUGAGACACGAAUCCAGACCCUACGGGGUGCAGCAGGCGCGAAAACUUCACACUGCAGGAAACUGUGAUGAGGGAACUCCAAGUGUGUGCACUAUUGUGUACACUUUUAUGAACUAUUAAUCGGUUCAAGAAUAAGGGCUGGGAAAGACCGGUGCCAGCCGCCGCGGUAAUACCGGCAGCUCAAGUGGUCGUCGCUUUUAUUGGGCCUAAAACGUCCGUAGCCUGUUUGGUAAAUCUGUGGGUAAAUCAACCAGCUUAACUGGUUGAAUUCUGCAGAGACUGCCAGACUAGGGACCGGGAGAGGUGUGGGGUACUCGAGGGGUAGGGGUAAAAUCCUGUCAUCCUUCGAGGACCACCAGUUGCGAAGGCGCCACACUGGAACGGAUCCGACGGUCAGGGACGAAGCCUAGGGGCACGAACCGGAUUAGAUACCCGGGUAGUCCUAGGUGUAAACGCUGUGAACUUGGUGUCGGGGGUCCGCAAGGGGUCCCCGGUGCCGGAGUGAAGAUGUUAAGUUCACUGCCUGGGGAGUACGGUCGCAAGGCUGAAACUUAAAGGAAUUGGCGGGGGAGCACUGCAACGGGAGGAGCGUGCGGUUUAAUUGGACUCAAC